RNAcentral lists this ribosomal RNA (496 nucleotides) under uncultured bacterium. RNAcentral describes it as "partial 16S ribosomal RNA". It matches the Rfam family "Bacterial small subunit ribosomal RNA", at positions 29 to 507 of the family's 1533-position model. The record is from RNAcentral.
AUGAACGCUGGCGGCGUGCCUAAUACAUGCAAGUCGAGCGAACGGACGAGAAGCUUGCUUUUCUGAUGUUAGCGGCGGACGGGUGAGUAACACGUGGAUAACCUACCUAUAAGACUGGGAUAACUUCGGGAAACCGGAGCUAAUACCGGAUAAUAUUUUGAACCGCAUGGUUCAAAAGUGAAAGACGGUCUUGCUGUCACUUAUAGAUGGAUCCGCGCUGCAUUAGCUAGUUGGUAGGGUAACGGCUUACCAAGGCAACGAUGCAUAGCCGACCUGAGAGGGUGAUCGGCCACACUGGAACUGAGACACGGUCCAGACUCCUACGGGAGGCAGCAGUAGGGAAUCUUCCGCAAUGGGCGAAAGCCUGACGGAGCAACGCCGCGUGAGUGAUGAAGGUCUUCGGAUCGUAAAACUCUGUUAUUAGGGAAGAACAUAUGUGUAAGUAACUGUGCACAUCUUGACGGUACCUAAUCAGAAAGCCACGGCUAACUACGUG